Molecule: long non-coding RNA, 498 nt
Organism: Drosophila innubila
Lineage: Eukaryota; Metazoa; Arthropoda; Insecta; Diptera; Drosophilidae
Exons: 2
Source: RefSeq, a predicted model, not a curated record
CUACGCCUUAGUCAUGGCACAAUCUAUUACCAGAUAGUCCUCAAACUGAUUCGUUGGCUAUUAAAAGCGACAAGCAAUUGACCAAACAACUGCAUUUCUUAACAGUCUGUUGCCAUGAAUCGUUCGGCAGCGAAUUUUCUGGAGUAUGUUGAAAAUCUCAUUGCCUUGGAACGUACUGCAAGUGGACAACUCCCAAGGGGAUCGUGUGGUAUUAGUGCCAUACGCACCUGGUUAUUCGAUAUCAGCGGAUUGAAUCACUGUGGCAACUCAUCGAAACAUUUAUGCCAAUCAGAUGACCAAUGUGACAAGGGUCUAAAUUUUAGUUGGAGAUAUAUGCUGCUAAAAUUAGUCAAGCAUUUGCGGGGGCUCUUCCAAAAAUUGAAAAACAAAUGGAAGCGAAAAUUUUUAAUUUAACAGUUUGGAAUAACAAAAGUGAAAGAUGUAUAUAUAAAUAUUUUAUAUUUUCUUCAUUAAUAUUAUGAAUGCAUUAAUAUUUAA